RNAcentral lists this unclassified non-coding RNA (605 nucleotides) under uncultured Russula. RNAcentral describes it as "sequence contains ITS1, 5.8S rRNA gene and ITS2". The stretch from base 162 to 315 matches the Rfam family "5.8S ribosomal RNA". Lineage: Eukaryota; Fungi; Basidiomycota; Agaricomycetes; Russulales; Russulaceae. The record is from RNAcentral.
UCGUGCACGCCCGAGUGCCCUCACACACAUCCAUCUCACCCCUAUGUGCACCACCGCGUGGGUCCCCCUUUGGCUUGUUCGGAGGGGGGCUUACGUUUUCACACAAACUUUGUAUGCAGUGUAGAAUGUAUUUUUUGUUUUUGCGAUCACGCAAUCAAUACAACUUUCAACAACGGAUCUCUUGGCUCUCGCAUCGAUGAAGAACGCAGCGAAAUGCGAUACGUAAUGUGAAUUGCAGAAUUCAGUGAAUCAUCGAAUCUUUGAACGCACCUUGCGCCCCUUGGCAUUCCGAGGGGCACACCCGUUUGAGUGUCGUGAAAUUCUCAAAAACCUUUUUCUUUUUGGGAAAGGGUUUUUGGACUUGGAGGCUUUUUGCUGGCUUCACCUUGAAGUGAGCUCCUCCUAAAUGAAUCAGUGGGGUCCGCUUUGCCGAUCCUUGACGUGAUAAGAUGUUUCUGCGUCUUUGGGUUUGGCACUGUCACCUGCUUCUAACUGUCUCAUUGACAAUGAUGGUGCUCCGGUCACCACCGCUCUUAUCGGUGGGAGGCUUGACCCACAAAAACAAAACCUUGACCUCAAAUCGGGUGAGACUACCCGCUGAACUU